AGCAGCCGCGGUAAUUCCAGCUCCAAUAGCGUAUAUUAAAGUUGUUGCAGUUAAAAAGCUCGUAGUUGAAUUUCGGGAUCAAUACGUCGGUCGUGCUUCGGUACGUACUGGCGUAAUUGAUUUCUCCCUUCUGACGAACCAUGAUGUCAUUAACUUGGUGUCAUGGGAAAUCAGGACUGUUACUUUGAAAAAAAUUAGAGUGUUUAAAGCAGGCUCACGCUUGAAUACAUUAGCAUGGAAUAAUGAAAUAGGACGUUCGAUCCUAUUUUGUUGGUUUUUAGGAUCAACGUAAUGAUUAAUAGGGAUAGUUGGGGGCAUUAGUAUUCAAUUGUCAAAGGUGAAAUUCUUGGAUUUAUUGAAGACUAACUACUGCGAAAGCAUUUGCCAAGGAUGUUUUCAUUAAUCAAGAACGAAAGUUAGGGGAUCGAAGACGAUCAGAUACCGUCGUAGUCUUAACCAUAAACUAUGCCGACUAGGGAUCGGAUGAUGUUAAUUUUUUUAAUGACUCAUUCGGCGCCUU
This 520-nucleotide ribosomal RNA is filed under the name uncultured Glomus. Its description in RNAcentral is "SSU rRNA". It matches the Rfam family "Eukaryotic small subunit ribosomal RNA", at positions 569 to 1089 of the family's 1831-position model. Lineage: Eukaryota; Fungi; Glomeromycota; Glomeromycetes; Glomerales; Glomeraceae. The record is from RNAcentral.